AAAAAUUGCCACCGGUAGCUCUAUCUCCCCCUCUAGUUACCUAAGCCCGUCUGACCCUUUACCAAAAUCUCUCUCUCUCUCUCUGAGAUCGGAGCCAGUCAUGUCCGACGAGGACAGACGAUUUGCUGCGCCGGAGGUCCAGAAAAAUCUCUUAUCUCGGCGAAUCCGUUCGCAUGUUGUUAUGGACUGAGGAGUACAAUCUAUGUUGAAUAAUGCAGCAAUUUGAAUCGCCAAGUGGACGUUCCUAUGGAUUAAUGGGAGAACUGAACUAUAUGCAGGAGGAAGAUAUUCGGCUAGAGGCAACACGAUCUAGAUCGUCGAAUGCUUGGAAAAGACACGGUGAUUUAGCCGAGCGUAUGUCUAGGUGAAACUUAAUUAGAAAUUUUUAAGUCUUCAUUCAUCAUGUAUUUUUGGUUAUGUAUAAUGAUAGUUUGCAUUUUUUGGAGCUGUCAUUACUUGGCAGUACACUAAUGCUGGCUGCAAAAAGAAUUCAAAUUGAAGACCUCGGAAGUCGGAAGUUGUACUUCUUGACCUCAAGGUUAUUAAGAAGUUAUGUGCAUCAUUUUCAAGAGGAUGCAUUCAUUGAAAUAGGAGAAAAAUGUUGUGCAGUAGUGGAAGAAGUCAAUGGCUUUAAUAAAUUAUCUUGUAUUACCAACAUCUAUAUAUACAUAUACAAUUAUGCAUCCAGUGGACUGUAUUGAUUUAACAGGGAUUCUGACAAUGACAAUUUACGAGCAUCUACAUAAGGGAUUUGAAGCUGCACAGGCUUUUCAAACUCCAGGUAGCUCUGAAUAGAUUUUAUGCUGAAUGCUUCAUUUUAAAGUUACAGUUGCAUCUAGCUUUCGGUCAUCAUGGUAAGUUUUUCUUUAUUUGCUUCAAUGGUUUCUAAAUGCAUUUGGAGGUAAAUUCUUGGGUGUGGAAACUAUAGACCUACAUCUUCUGUGAACUGCAGCGGUUUUAAGUUGAACUCAACCAUGAUCAGGUUGUGAUAUCUAAGUUGAUAAUGAGUCUCGUGGGUUACUGUUUAAAUUCAUUGACUUGAAUUUUUUUAUGGCUAACAUAUUGGAUUGUGAAAUUUAUAGAUGUUUUUUUGAAAGGGGGGCGGAUUCCAAAGAAACUCAGCAAGAAGGAUAUUUUGCAAUAUAGAGCUCAUAUAAUCAAGACAUUUGUGGAACAUAAGCAUAGUUGGAUCUCUACUAAUUCAGAGUUUUAGAAAUUUUUUUAGGGCUUAGAUUGGCCAAUUGUAAACUCUAGCUUACUAAAUCAAUUAGCUUUUUGUAUCUUUUUAUGAUGUCACUGUUAUGUACGUAUAGCUUUCCUUAAUAAAACAUUAUAUUUAUAGAUCUUUUACAGCACAUUCAAGUUUUAGGCAUCUUUUGAAUUCACCAAAUCAAUAUCAAUGACCAUGUCCAAUAUUGAUCACAAGUCAGUACACAAGUCACUGUUAACCUCAAAUCACUGAUCAUGUUACUGUUAUACACAUUUCAUUGACCAAGUUCACUACUAGAAUUUUGGUCUUAGACAUCACGACAAUUACAUCGGUGAGGAAUUCACGCGAUGUAAAAAAAGAUCAUUAACAUCGAUUCCUCAAAUUCCAAUUUAUAUGCAUAUAAUUGAUACCAUUUAUUACUGUUGACCGAUGUUUACAAUUUGAUUCUGAAACUUUAAAAAACGCGGAAAAAAUUAAGUUAAAAUUUUCCCACUUUUAUCUCCCAAUUUUCACACUCCCUCUUCCUCGGAGCCCUAGCUCUUUCCUCCUUCCUCUUCCGCUAUCUUUCCACGGCAACCACCGCCUCCCUCUUCGGUCUCUCCUUGAUUAACGGCCUCCUCCCUCUCGCCGGCACCAUCACCUCUGCCUGCAAGCUCUCUCUCUCUCUCUCACUCACAUAUAUUUUUGUGGCUCAUCUCGGAGGUGCAACCUGGCGUUGACUCAUCGGAGGAAGGCGAAGAACAUGGUGGCGACGGUGAGUCCACCCCGGUUGCCGGAGAUCGGUGACGGAGGAGACAGAGUCCUCCAGAUCUACUUUCUCUCUCCUCCCUCUCUAUCUUGUCUGUGCUUUUCUUUCUUCUCUAAUGAACUAGACGAAUCCAGUAGCUAACCAAGCUUGGAUGGGAUGCGGAUUUGAAAUGUAGAGGAAAUUUAUGCUGUGCCAUUUUAUUUUUUUGAUGAUUUGGGAGCUGAAUUUUUGAUGUUUGAGUUUAUGUUUUGUUGCAGAGAUGAGUGAGUCGGCGAAGGUUUUGUACAUAGUGGUGGUGGAUGGUGAGGAUGAUUUGUUGGGUUGUUUGUGAUUGAUUGGUUCACUGUUGAAUCCCAAGGUUUGAGAUUUUUUGUUAUCUGGGUUUUGUUCUUCUUCUGUUAAAGUAUGAAUUGUUUUGGUGAGAAGUUUGCUGGGUACUUGAAUCAUGGUGUGGUUGAUUGGUUCAGUUGUGUUUCUAUACAUGGUCAGCGAUUAUUUGAAUUGAAAAUUUUGCAUCUGGGCUGGUUUGAUUUUAUUUGUUGUUUUAUGUAAUGGGUUUAUGAUCAGAUUUACUUGGAAUAUAUUAAGCAUGAUGGUAGCUUUCGAUCACUUGCUUUAUCUUUCUUAUAUCCCAAAAAUUACAAUAUAACAUUAGUGGAUACAAUCGGUGUGCCCCAGUUUUCUGCAUAUUUUAAUUUCAACCCACAAGUAGUCUAUAUUAGCUAUAUAUUUGUGGUGUAUAUUCAUUUACUUCACAGGUUUGCACAUUCCAUCUGGUUGUAAAAAGUGCUGCAUCAUUGUUUGGCGAUAAGGAUCCUGUAAAAUUGGAAACAGAAUCUAUGCUCAACGAUCUUAUAAGGUUCCUGGGAAGAUAAAUCUUGUACUGGAGUACUGCAGAGGAGGUGAUCUUUCUAUGUACAUUCAACGCCAUGGAAAAGUACCUGAAGCUCUUGCAAAGCACUUCAUGCAGCGGCUAGGUUUUUUUCAUCUGUCCAUUUAGUUUCCAAUUUUCCAUUAAUUUGGGUCUCUUGGCACCCUUAUUUUAAACUCUUGACCUUGUUGUUUGAUAUGGAUCUCCUACUUUCUGCAAUAGUCUUUGUUGAGUUACAUUGUUAAAGUGUGCUGACUCAAUAUUUCAUGACUUAACGUUGAUUCCUGAGUGUAGAAAGAUCCACAUGUUUGUCUAUAAUUGACCAUAAUCUUGAGAACUUUUCCAACCUGAACAUAAAUGUGGUAGGGUUUCUUUAGUGUAAGUUCCUUGUUUGCUUGCACACUCUCAAGCGUAUAAACUGUCUUGCUGUGGAAUUGGCAAGAGGAUGACCCUUAAUUUUAUAGUGUUCCAUUCUUAAUUGUAUAUAAUCCAUUGUGGGGAGAAGUGAUGAUUUGUUUUUGUUUCUGUGGCUAUCAUCAUGCAUUUUAAACUGUCAAAAGCUUGGAUAUUCUUCUUUUAUGGUGUUUUUUUGUUUAGUUAUAUGGAAUUUGAGAGAGCAUGUAUGUAACAUGUUUUGUUGUUUCUCCUCUCCUUAGCUAAAGCUAUAGAUGAGUGUGCCAGUACGUCUUAAAUCUAAGGCAGCAGAAUCAAAUGCUGAAGCAGCAAAUGCAGAUCCUGGGUUGGAGGCUAUCAUGGAGGGAAUGUUGAGCAAGUGUGCAAGCUUAUGUGUUUUUAAAUGAAAAAUUUGUUCCCCUAGCUUUCUGACCAUUUUUUUCAUUUUAGGUGUAAGUGCCUUUUUUGUAAAUUGUAAGGAUCAUGAUACAACUACUCUUGAAUGUUACAAUGUUAGUCCUAAAUGCCCCAAUGUUACAACUACUCUUGAAUAAUUUUAUUUUGAGAAAUGUGGAUUGAAUA
Molecule: long non-coding RNA, 3804 nt
Organism: Rosa rugosa (rugosa rose)
Lineage: Eukaryota; Viridiplantae; Streptophyta; Magnoliopsida; Rosales; Rosaceae
Exons: 5
Source: RefSeq, a predicted model, not a curated record